GUACACGCUGUGACUAGCAUAUCAAUAAGCGGAGGAAAAGAAACUAACAAGGAUUCCCCUAGUAACGGCGAGUGAAGCGGGAAGAGCUCAAAUUUGAAAUCUUAAAGGGUUUCCCUUUACGAAUUGUAGUUUAAAGAAGUGUUUUCUGUUGAGGUUUUGGUAAAAGUUCUUUGGAAUAGGACAUCAUAGAGGGUGAGAAUCCCGUAUUUGACCUUUACUUUCAACUUUGUGAUACACUUUCAAAGAGUCGGAUUGUUUGGGAAUGCAGUCCAAAAUGGGCGGUAAAUUUCAUCUAAAGCUAAAUAUUGGCGAGAGACCGAUAGCGAACAAGUACCGUGAGGGAAAGAUGAAAAGAACUUUGAAAAGAGAGUUAAACAGUACGUGAAAUUGUCAAAAGGGAAGCGUUUGACACCAGUGUUGUUUUUCUGAAAAUCAAUUAAAGAACUGUUUAUGCUAAGUUGUUUAGACUUUAUUAGCUAUCUGCUUAGUUUUGAGCUUUUCUUUAAUGCACUUUUCAGUUAACAAGUCAACAUCAAUCUCUUUUGCUGUAAAAAAGCUUGAGGAAGGUGGCUUGAGAUUCGUCUUAAGUGUUUAUAGCCUCUUGCCUAUGCAGUCGGAGAGAUUGAGGUCUGCAGCGUAGAUCCUUCGGGGCUAAAUGCAUUUGUGCUAAGUUAUAGCAUUUUAUAGACAACUUGUUGACUAUGAUUUGUCUUGUAGCUUACUCGCUUAUGUUAUUCUACCUACGCUUAGGAUGUUGACGCAUGAGAUAUACGC
This 774-nucleotide ribosomal RNA is filed under the name uncultured Neocallimastigales. Its description in RNAcentral is "partial large subunit ribosomal RNA". It matches the Rfam family "Eukaryotic large subunit ribosomal RNA", at positions 22 to 646 of the family's 3401-position model. The record is from RNAcentral. Lineage: Eukaryota; Fungi; Neocallimastigomycota; Neocallimastigomycetes; Neocallimastigales.